This 275-nucleotide ribosomal RNA is filed under the name uncultured bacterium. RNAcentral's name for it is "partial 16S ribosomal RNA". It matches the Rfam family "Bacterial small subunit ribosomal RNA", at positions 399 to 691 of the family's 1533-position model. The record is from RNAcentral.
GCGUGAGUGAUGAAGGCCUUAGGGUUGUAAAGCUCUUUUACCCGGGAUGAUAAUGACAGUACCGGGAGAAUAAGCCCCGGCUAACUCCGUGCCAGCAGCCGCGGUAAUACGAAGGGGGCGAGCGUUGUUCGGAAUCACUGGGCGUAAAGGGCGCGUAGGCGGCCCUGUUUGUCGCGUGUGAAAGCCCCGGGCUCAACCUGGGAAUUGCGCUUGGGACUGGUUGGCUUGAGUUCGGGAGAGGAGCGUGGAAUUCCCAGUGUAGAGGUGAAAUUCGU